UACAGAGGCCUCGAGCGUUAGGCGGAAUCACUGGGCUUAAAGCGCGUGUAGGCGGAUCGUUAAGUGUCUUGUGAAAUCCCACGGCUCAACCGUGGAACUGCUGGGCAUACUGGCGAUCUUGGGCCACUCAGGGGCGACCGGAACAAGCGGUGGAGCGGUGAAAUGCGUAGAUAUCGCCUGGAACGCCGACGGGGAAAGCAGCUCGCUGGGGGUGUGCUGACGCUGAGACCCGAAAGCCAGGGGAGCGAACGGG
Molecule: ribosomal RNA, 253 nt
Filed under: uncultured bacterium
Lineage: Bacteria
Description: partial 16S ribosomal RNA
Rfam family: Bacterial small subunit ribosomal RNA
Source: RNAcentral